Molecule: long non-coding RNA, 1107 nt
Organism: Mus musculus (house mouse)
Lineage: Eukaryota; Metazoa; Chordata; Mammalia; Rodentia; Muridae
Product: predicted gene, 30968
Exons: 4
Source: RefSeq, a predicted model, not a curated record
UCUUUCAAUGCUCUUGCAAUCAGGCACUAGUAUGGGGGCGGGGUAUGUGUGUGAGUCCUGAUGCACACACCUAGCUCCCAACAUAGAGACCUGCUGGCUGAGCCAUACUUCCCUGAGGACGCCAAUCCAAGCAGAAGCUGAUCCUCUGAGCAAGGGAACUGGGAAACCACCCCCCACCCCCGCGCACCCUGUUGCUGUCUGAGCGUUUGCCACCCAGUAGCACUUCAGUGCUUCGGAGCUGGAGCCUUUCUUAGAUCUUCAGUCCGUAGGGGACAAUGAGAGGUCCAUCCUGAUGUGUUUUCAAGCAAGAAAGACGUGCCUGUGCCACUCCACGGUGAAUCGACACUAUCGGGCCACAUCCUCAGUGUUCCGUGACAUCGCUCUUCUCCAGACAUGAUAUCCCUUUGACAGACAUCUCUCUGACACUCUGGGCACUCCUGUCAAGCCUGGCAUAUGAUGGAACUCUGUUAACACUGGCUUUGGGGACAUCUGGAAUAACCACUCAAUGAGAGCUAGCCUCUCCAGAGUGAGGCUGAGCACAGGGCUCCCAACUCAGAAGUACAACUCAAGAUUGUGGCUUGGGUUUAGCUUCUCAUCUCAAAUCGUCUUGACUUGUCUGCCUUAAAAUUUCUACAUUUCACGUUGGUUUUGUGCAAGCCACAGCACAGUGACUCAGCGUGUGUAUUGCUUGUGCAACCAGGACCCUCACCUAAUCAAGAUAUGUCAGUCUUUCAGGAGUUCCUGUGUUCCCCGGGCAGUCUGUCUCCCUCCCCUUCCCCCACAGGCAACGGUGAUCUGAUCGGUCUAAAUGCAUGAGUGCAGACGGUUGAUAACAUUUUUUCAGAGAGAGACGUGAGCACACACCAGCACGAGCCGUUGGCUGGGGAGGAAAGUUAACUUCCCCCAAGGGCCUGCUCUUGGAUGAUGGAUGUGGAGGAGGAGGAAGGCUGUGGGGACAAACAUCCCCAUGGGUCUGAAGGCUUGAAGAUGUCCCUCAUGGAAACCCCCUCCUAGGCCAGAGAAAAUUGAUCCCAGAUCACUUCAAAAAGAGCCAUGUUGACCUCUUCUUCUAAAGCUAAGAAUAAAACCUGUUAAAUAUUUACCUGA